CGCACGUGAUAUAUUGGUCAUUCCUCUUUACACCGUCGUAUCUGAGUCUGCAUUCAGCACCAAUGGACGUGUAAUAGACCCAUAUUGAAACUCAUUAGCACCAGAGACUGUCCAAGUACUAAUUUGCACACAAAAUUGGUUGACUUGUGAACCACUGAGUUCUUGGGAGAUGGAGGGGCAUGUAGAAGACGUUAACAUCAAAGGUAAUCCUCUUCCUUCAACUUCAGCAACUUAAGCAUAUGGACUCCCACCCUAAACAGCAAGCUCAAAGCAACAUAUUUUGGAGAACAAGUAUGUUUCAGUCAUGGAACAUGAAUCUGAGAGUGCUCCUAGAAGAAAGAUGGGACUUUUUCUUGGUGAUGAGAUGGAGGGAAAAAUCAAGGAUCUCUAUGAGAAGAGGAACACACAAAAAUCCAAGCAAGCAUAGAGGUUGGAGAAUAUCUACAUGGUCUCACUAGCUCCACUUGACAAAUAUGAUGCCAGCUAUAGUUAUCUGUUGUAGGUGGUUGUUCAUGCCCUUAACAAUCUUAUUGGUUCUUUAUCAGCAACUUUGAAGUAGCCUGUUGGUAUCCCACUUGACUAGAGAUUGUUCAACCAGUGGCAGAAUAAAGCGUGUGGGCAUUUCAAAUGCAAGAAGCAACUCAGAAACAAAGAUUGUGAAUAAGAAGCUUUCACAAAUUCAUCUUUCCUGCAUUUCUUUCCUCUUUCUUUUUUUUUUUUUUUUUAGCUGACGUGGCAUAAGUCGACUGUCAGCUGUUUGCAAGCAACGAUUGUCCCUAGCAUUAGUGUUUUUAAUUAUACAUCUUUGGUUCCUCUCCCACAUCCUAGUCAGUCUAAUUUUCAAAGUUUAUUCUAUUAUUGAGUUUUUUUAUUACUUUUUGUUCUUUA
This is a long non-coding RNA of Carya illinoinensis, 888 nucleotides long. RefSeq lists it as uncharacterized. The record is from RefSeq and is a predicted model, not a curated record. NCBI's taxonomy places the organism in Eukaryota, Viridiplantae, Streptophyta, Magnoliopsida, Fagales, Juglandaceae. The transcript has 6 exons.